Molecule: ribosomal RNA, 703 nt
Filed under: uncultured Allobosea sp.
Lineage: Bacteria; Pseudomonadati; Pseudomonadota; Alphaproteobacteria; Hyphomicrobiales; Alloboseaceae
Description: bacterial SSU rRNA
Rfam family: Bacterial small subunit ribosomal RNA
Source: RNAcentral
AGCGAACGCUGGCGGCAGGCUUAACACAUGCAAGUCGAACGGGCACUUCGGUGCUAGUGGCAGACGGGUGAGUAACACGUGGGAACGUACCUUUCGGUUCGGAAUAAUUCAGGGAAACUUGGACUAAUACCGGAUACGCCCUUUGGGGGAAAGAUUUAUCGCCGAUAGAUCGGCCCGCGUCUGAUUAGCUAGUUGGUGAGGUAAUGGCUCACCAAGGCGACGAUCAGUAGCUGGUCUGAGAGGAUGAUCAGCCACAUUGGGACUGAGACACGGCCCAAACUCCUACGGGAGGCAGCAGUGGGGAAUAUUGGACAAUGGGCGCAAGCCUGAUCCAGCCAUGCCGCGUGUGUGAUGAAGGCCUUAGGGUUGUAAAGCACUUUUGUCCGGGAAGAUAAUGACUGUACCGGAAGAAUAAGCCCCGGCUAACUUCGUGCCAGCAGCCGCGGUAAUACGAAGGGGGCUAGCGUUGCUCGGAAUCACUGGGCGUAAAGGGCGCGUAGGCGGACUUUUAAGUCGGGGGUGAAAGCCCAGGGCUCAACCCUGGAAUUGCCUUCGAUACUGAGAGUCUUGAGUUCGGAAGAGGUUGGUGGAACUGCGAGUGUAGAGGUGAAAUUCGUAGAUAUUCGCAAGAACACCAGUGGCGAAGGCGGCCAACUGGUCCGAUACUGACGCUGAGGCGCGAAAGCGUGGGGGAGCAAACAGG